UAACUGCGCGCAAUCGUGUGAACUGCAGGACACAUGAACACCGACGUUUUGAACGCAUAUGGCGGUCUGAAGGAAAUUUUCAGACCACGUCUGGCUGAGGGUCGGAUUUGAAAUCAAACAAACAAGCAUCGCCGGGUUGAAAAGCUCGGUUAGAAAAAUGUAAAUGCUUUUGUUGCGCUAUUGCUCAACUUGGUCUGAUGUUAAAACAAAAAAUGUGACCAUAAGCGAGCUGAUAGUCGGCAACUAAAUUCAUAUAUACGACCUCAGAGUAGACGAGAUUACCCGCUUAAUUUAA
Molecule: unclassified non-coding RNA, 295 nt
Filed under: uncultured fungus
Lineage: Eukaryota; Fungi
Description: sequence contains ITS1
Rfam family: 5.8S ribosomal RNA (bases 1-104)
Source: RNAcentral